Molecule: ribosomal RNA, 497 nt
Filed under: uncultured bacterium
Lineage: Bacteria
Description: partial 16S ribosomal RNA
Rfam family: Bacterial small subunit ribosomal RNA
Source: RNAcentral
GAUGAACGCUGGCGGCGUGCCUAAUACACGCAAGUCGAGCGAACGGACGAGAAGCUUGCUUCUCUGAUGUUAGCGGCGGACGGGUGAGUAACACGUGGAUAACCUACCUAUAAGACUGGGAUAACUUCGGGAAACCGGAGCUAAUACCGGAUAAUAUUUUGAACCGCAUGGUUCAAAAGUGAAAGACGGUCUUGCUGUCACUUAUAGAUGGAUCCGCGCUGCAUUAGCUAGUUGGUAAGGUAACGGCUUACCAAGGCAACGAUGCAUAGCCGACCUGAGAGGGUGAUCGGCCACGCUGGAACUGAGACACGGUCCAGACUCCUACGGGAGGCAGCAGUAGGGAAUCUUCCGCAAUGGGCGAAAGCCUGACGGAGCAACGCCGCGUGAGUGAUGAAGGUCUUCGGACCGUAAAACUCUGUUAUUAGGGAAGAACAUAUGUGUAAGUAACUGUGCACAUCUUGACGGUACCUAAUCAGAAAGCCACGGCUAACUACGUG